This 1915-nucleotide ribosomal RNA is filed under the name metagenome. RNAcentral describes it as "bacterial LSU rRNA". It matches the Rfam family "Bacterial large subunit ribosomal RNA", at positions 1012 to 2925 of the family's 2925-position model. The record is from RNAcentral.
GGAAAGGGAAACAGCCCAGACUUCUGGCUAAGGUCUCAAAGUAGUGGCUAAGUGGCGAAGGAGGUGUACCUGCGAAGACAUCUAGGAGGUUUGCUCAGAAGCAGCAAUCCUUUAAAGAGUGCGUAAUAGCUCACUGGCCGAGCAGGUAUGCGCCGAAAAUGUAAGGAGGCUUAAGUCACUCACCGAAGCCGAAGGUCUACACGGAUAGUGUAGGCGGUAGAGGAGCGUUCUAUGCACGAUGAAGUCAACUCGUAAGGGUUGAUGGAGUGUAUAGAAGUGAAAAUGUUGGCAUGAGUAACGACUGGAGGUUAGAAUCCUCCACGCCGGAAGCCUAAGGAUUCCACAGCAACGUUCGACGACUGUGGGUUAGGCGGAACCUAAGGUUAAGCCGAAAGGUGAGACCGAUGGGAAGCCGGUUAAUAUUCCGGCCCCUAGCUAGUACUGGGAUGGCAUGACGCAUUGGGUUGUGUGUAUGCUUUCUAUAUGGGAGUUUAACAAACAAGUCGUCUCUAACCAAAAGGUUGGAGGGGUAGUAUAGGAGAAUCCGUGCUACUUAAGACGAGUUUUGAACAAGACCUGCAUUAAGUAGGGAAUACAUAGAUCUGGUGCCAAGAAAAACGUCUACUAUUAAUACUACCUAGUCCGUACCGAGAACUAACACUAGUGGGCUGGUGGAGAACACCAAGGCGAGCGAGUCAACUAGGGAUAAGGAACUCGGCAAAUUAGCGGGCGUAACUUCGGGAUAAGCCCUGCCUGGCGUAAGUCAGGUUGCAGCGAAAGAAGCGGGGGGGACUGUUUAUCAAAAACACAGCUCUCUGCGAACUCCAAAAGAGGAGGUAUAGAGGGUGAUGCCUGUCCGGUGCCAGAAUGUUAAGCACUGGGGUGCAAGCCCUGGUGUGAAGCACUGGUGAACGACGGCCGUAACUAUGACGGUCCUAAGGUAGCGAAAUUCCUUGUCGGGUAAGUUCCGACCUGCACGAAUGGCGUAACGAGGGCCACACUGUCUCCACCCGAGACUCAGUGAAAUUGAAAUUGCUGUUAAGAUGCAGUAUACCCGCGGCCAGACGGAAAGACCCCGUGCACCUUUACUACAGCUUUGCAUUGAACUCUGAUCCUACCUGUGUAGGAUAGGUGGGAGACUUUGAAACUUUAACGCUAGUUAGAGUGGAGUCAUCCUUGAAAUACCACCCUGGUAUGGUUGGGGUUCUAACCUUGGUCCGUUAUCCGGAUUGGGGACAAUGCAUGGUGGGUAGUUUGACUGGGGCGGUCUCCUCCCAAAGAGUAACGGAGGAGCGCAAAGGUACCCUCAGCACGGUCGGACAUCGUGCAAUGAGCGCAAAGGUAAAAGGGUGCUUGACUGCGAGACUGACACGUCGAGCAGGUAGGAAACUAGGUCUUAGUGAUCCGGUGGUUCUGAGUGGAAGGACCAUCGCUCAACGGAUAAAAGGUACGCCGGGGAUAACAGGCUGAUACCGCCCAAGAGUUCACAUCGACGGCGGUGUUUGGCACCUCGAUGUCGGCUCAUCACAUCCUGGGGCUGAAGCAGGUCCCAAGGGUAUGGCUGUUCGCCAUUUAAAGUGGUACGCGAGCUGGGUUUAGAACGUCGUGAGACAGUUCGGUCCCUAUCUACCGUGGGCGUUGGAGACUUGAGGGAAGCUGUUCUUAGUACGAGAGGACCGGAAUGGACACACCUCUGGUGUUUCGGUUAUGACGCCAGUCGUAUUGCCGAGUAGCUAUGUGUGGAAAGGAUAACCGCUGAAAGCAUCUAAGCGGGAAGCCCCUCCCAAGAUUAGGUCUCCCUGACAGUUUAACUGUCCUAAAGAUCCCUCGGAGACUACGAGGUUGAUAGGCACGGUGUGGAAGAGUAGUGAUACUUGAAGCUAACGUGUACUAAUUGAUCGUGAGGCUUGACCAU